AGAGUUUGAUCAUGGCUCAGGACGAACGCUGGCGGCGCGCUAACACAUGCAAGUCGAACGGGGUAUAUAGUUGAGUAAUCGAAUGUAUACCUAGUGGCGGACGGGUGAGUAACGCGUGAGCAACCUGCCUCUUACAGGGGGAUAACGUACCGAAAGGCACACUAAUACCGCAUAUAAUACAAUUACGCAUGUAGCUGUAUAGAAAGGGAUUACCGGUAAGAGAUGGGCUCGCGUCCGAUUAGAUAGUUGGUAGGGUAACGGCCUACCAAGUCAACGAUCGGUAGCCGACCUGAGAGGGUGAUCGGCCACAUUGGAACUGAGAACGGUCCAAACUCCUACGGGAGGCAGCAGUGGGGAAUCUUGGGCAAUGGGGGGAACCCUGACCCAGCGACGCCGCGUGAGGGAAGAAGGUUUUCGGAUUGUAAACCUCUGUUCUUGGUGAAGAGUAAAAGACGGUAGCCAAGGAGGAAGCCCCGGCUAACUACGUGCCAGCAGCCGCGGUAAUACGUAGGUGGCGAGCGUUGUCCGGAAUUACUGGGCGUAAAGAGCACGUAGGCGGGAUUUUAAGUCAGGUGUGAAAGACCGUGGCUCAACCACGGGGUUGCACAUGAAACUGGAAUUCUUGAGGGCAGGAGAGGAAAGUGGAAUUCCUGGUGUAGCGGUGAAAUGCGUAGAAAUCAGGAGGAACACCGGUGGCGAAGGCGGCUUUCUGGACUGACCCUGACGCUGAGGUGCGAAAGCGUGGGUAGCAAACAGGAUUAGAUACCCUGGUAGUCCACGCUGUAAACGAUGGAUACUAGGUGUGGGAGGUAUCGACCCCUUCCGUGCCGCAGCAAACGCAAUAAGUAUCCCGCCUGGGGAGUACGGUCGCAAGGCUGAAACUCAAAUGAAUUGACGG
RNAcentral lists this ribosomal RNA (898 nucleotides) under uncultured bacterium. RNAcentral's name for it is "bacterial SSU rRNA". It matches the Rfam family "Bacterial small subunit ribosomal RNA", at positions 8 to 916 of the family's 1533-position model. The record is from RNAcentral.